UGGGGAAUUUUGGGCAAUGGGCGAAAGCCUGAUCCAGCAAUGCCGCGUGUGUGAAGAAGGCCUUCGGGUUGUAAAGCACUUUUGUCCGGAAAGAAAUCCUUGGCUCUAAUACAGUCGGGGGGAUGACGGUACCGGAAGAAUAAGCACCGGCUAACUACGUGCCAGCAGCCGCGGUAAUACGUAGGGUGCAAGCGUUAAUCGGAAUUACUGGGCGUAAAGCGUGCGCAGGCGGUUUGCUAAGACCGAUGUGAAAUCCCCGGGCUCAACCUGGGAACUGCAUUGGUGACUGGCAGGCUAGAGUAUGGCAGAGGGGGGUAGAAUUCCACGUGUAGCAGUGAAAUGCGUAGAGAUGUGGAGGAAUACCGAUGGCGAAGGCAGCCCCCUGGGCCAAUACUGACGCUCAUGCACGAAAGCGUGGGGAGCAAAACAGGAUUAGAUACCCUGGUAGUCCACGCCCUAAACGAUGUCAACUAGUUGUUGGGGAUUCAUUUCCUUAGUAACGUAGCUAACGCGUGAAGUUGACCGCCUGGGGAGUACGGUCGCAAGAUUAAAACUCAAA
This 559-nucleotide ribosomal RNA is filed under the name uncultured bacterium. RNAcentral's name for it is "partial 16S ribosomal RNA". It matches the Rfam family "Bacterial small subunit ribosomal RNA", at positions 355 to 905 of the family's 1533-position model. The record is from RNAcentral.